GCCCGAGUGGUGAAAUCGGUAGACACAACAGAUUUAAAAUCUGUCGACCUCUGGUCGUGCCGGUUCAAGUCCGGCCUCGGGCACCA
RNAcentral lists this transfer RNA (86 nucleotides) under Cellvibrio sp. RNAcentral's name for it is "tRNA-Leu". It matches the Rfam family "tRNA". From Rfam's summary of the family: Transfer RNA (tRNA) molecules are approximately 80 nucleotides in length. Their secondary structure includes four short double-helical elements and three loops (D, anti-codon, and T loops). The record is from RNAcentral. Lineage: Bacteria; Pseudomonadati; Pseudomonadota; Gammaproteobacteria; Cellvibrionales; Cellvibrionaceae. RNAcentral also lists the same sequence under 1 other name.